RNAcentral lists this ribosomal RNA (253 nucleotides) under uncultured bacterium. Its description in RNAcentral is "partial 16S ribosomal RNA". It matches the Rfam family "Bacterial small subunit ribosomal RNA", at positions 524 to 776 of the family's 1533-position model. The record is from RNAcentral.
UACGUAGGGUGCAAGCGUUGUCCGGAAUUAUUGGGCGUAAAGAGCUCGUAGGCGAUCUGUCGCGUCGGAUGUGAAAAUCCAGGGCUUAACCCUGGGCCUGCAUUCGAUACGGGCAGACUAGAGUGUGGUAGGGGAGACUGGAAUUCCUGGUGUAGCGGUGAAAUGCGCAGAUAUCAGGAGGAACACCAGUGGCGAAGGCGGCUCACUGGCCCGAUACUGACGCUGAGGCACGAAAGCGUGGGGAGCAAACAGG